Molecule: long non-coding RNA, 99 nt
Organism: Thalassophryne amazonica
Lineage: Eukaryota; Metazoa; Chordata; Actinopteri; Batrachoidiformes; Batrachoididae
Exons: 3
Source: RefSeq, a predicted model, not a curated record
UUCUCUUCGCAGGAAAGUGGCACAGAGAAAGAAGGUUAUUGGCUGUCCUUGCCAUUGCGGCCACACUAAAUGCUGCCACAGUGGAAAAGACGCUGUCAG